Molecule: ribosomal RNA, 263 nt
Filed under: uncultured archaeon
Lineage: Archaea
Description: partial 16S ribosomal RNA
Rfam family: Archaeal small subunit ribosomal RNA
Source: RNAcentral
CAGCCGUAAACUAUGCGCGUUAGGUGUAUCGGUGACCACGAGUCACCGAGGUGCCGAAGGGAAACCGUGAAACGUGCCGCCUGGGAAGUACGGUCGCAAGGCUGAAACUUAAAGGAAUUGGCGGGGGGAGGCACCACAACGGGUGGAGCCUGCGGUUUAAUUGGACUCAACGCCGGGAAGCUCACCGGAUAGGACAGCAGAAUGAUUGCCGGGCUGAAGACCCUGCAUGACUAGCUGAGAGGAGGUGCAUGGCGUAGACGUCU